Molecule: ribosomal RNA, 400 nt
Filed under: uncultured bacterium
Lineage: Bacteria
Description: partial 16S ribosomal RNA
Rfam family: Bacterial small subunit ribosomal RNA
Source: RNAcentral
UGGGGAAUAUGCACAAUGGGCGCAAGCCUGAUGCAGCCAUGCCGCGUGUGUGAAGAGGCCUUCGGGUUGUAAAGCACUUUCAGCGAGGAGGAAGGUGGUGAACUUAAUACGUUCAUCAAUUGACGUUACUCGCAGAAGAAGCACCGGCUAACUCCGUGCCAGCAGCCGCGGUAAUACGGAGGGUGCAAGCGUUAAUCGGAAUUACUGGGCGUAAAGCGCACGCAGGCGGUUUGUUAAGUCAGAUGUGAAAUCCCCGGGCUAACCUGGGAACUGCAUUUGAAACUGGCAAGCUAGAGUCUCGUAGAGGGGGGUAGAAUUCCAGGUGUAGCGGUGAAAUGCGUAGAGAUCUGGAGGAUACCGGUGGCGAAGGCGGCCCCUGACGAAGACUGACGCUCAGGUG